RNAcentral lists this ribosomal RNA (1038 nucleotides) under Salmonella enterica. RNAcentral's name for it is "partial 23S ribosomal RNA". It matches the Rfam family "Bacterial large subunit ribosomal RNA", at positions 410 to 1445 of the family's 2925-position model. Lineage: Bacteria; Pseudomonadati; Pseudomonadota; Gammaproteobacteria; Enterobacterales; Enterobacteriaceae. The record is from RNAcentral.
GAGUAGGGCGGGACACGUGGUAUCCUGUCUGAAUAUGGGGGGACCAUCCUCCAAGGCUAAAUACUCCUGACUGACCGAUAGUGAACCAGUACCGUGAGGGAAAGGCGAAAAGAACCCCGGCGAGGGGAGUGAAAAAGAACCUGAAACCGUGUACGUACAAGCAGUGGGAGCACAGGUUUACCUGUGUGACUGCGUACCUUUUGUAUAAUGGGUCAGCGACUUAUAUUCUGUAGCAAGGUUAACCGUAUAGGGGAGCCGGAGGGAAACCGAGUCUUAACCGGGCGUUAAGUUGCAGGGUAUAGACCCGAAACCCGGUGAUCUAGCCAUGGGCAGGUUGAAGGUUGGGUAACACUAACUGGAGGACCGAACCGACUAAUGUUGAAAAAUUAGCGGAUGACCUGUGGCUGGGGGUGAAAGGCCAAUCAAACCGGGAGAUAGCUGGUUCUCCCCGAAAGCUAUUUAGGUAGCGCCUCGUGAAUUCAUCUCCGGGGGUAGAGCACUGUUUCGGCUAGGGGGCCAUCCCGGCUUACCAACCCGAUGCAAACUGCGAAUACCGGAGAAUGUUAUCACGGGAGACACACGGCGGGUGCUAACGUCCGUCGUGAAGAGGGAAACAACCCAGACCGCCAGCUAAGGUCCCAAAGUCAUGGUUAAGUGGGAAACGAUGUGGGAAGGCCCAGACAGCCAGGAUGUUGGCUUAGAAGCAGCCAUCAUUUAAAGAAAGCGUAAUAGCUCACUGGUCGAGUCGGCCUGCGCGGAAGAUGUAACGGGGCUAAACCAUGCACCGAAGCUGCGGCAGCGACACUCAGGUGUUGUUGGGUAGGGGAGCGUUCUGUAAGCCUGUGAAGGUGGCCUGUGAGGGUUGCUGGAGGUAUCAGAAGUGCGAAUGCUGACAUAAGUAACGAUAAAGCGGGUGAAAAGCCCGCUCGCCGGAAGACCAAGGGUUCCUGUCCAACGUUAAUCGGGGCAGGGUGAGUCGACCCCUAAGGCGAGGCCGAAAGGCGUAGUCGAUGGGAAACGGGUUAAUAUUCCCGUACU